UAUGUGAUCGUCUCUCGCAUAUCAAUAAGCGGAGGAAAAGAAACUAACAAGGAUUCCCCUAGUAACGGCGAGUGAAGCGGGAAGAGCUCAAAUUUGAAAUCUUAAAGGGUUUCCCUUUACGAAUUGUAGUUUAAAGAAGUGUUUUCUGUUGAGGUUUUGGUAAAAGUUCUUUGGAAUAGGACAUCAUAGAGGGUGAGAAUCCCGUAUUUGACCUUUACUUUCAACUUUGUGAUACACUUUCAAAGAGUCGGAUUGUUUGGGAAUGCAGUCCAAAAUGGGUGGUAAAUUUCAUCUAAAGCUAAAUAUUGGCGAGAGACCGAUAGCGAACAAGUACCGUGAGGGAAAGAUGAAAAGAACUUUGAAAAGAGAGUUAAACAGUACGUGAAAUCGUCAAAAGGGAAGCGUUUGACACCAGUGUUGUUUUUCUGAAAAUCAAUUGAAGAACUGUUUAUGCUAAGUUGUUUAGACUUUAUCAGCUAACUGUUUAGUUUUGAGCUUUUCUUUAAUGCACUUUUCAGUUAACAAGUCGACAUCAAUUUCUUUUGCUGUAAAAAAGCUUGAGGAAGGUGGCUUGAGAUUCGUCUUAAGUGUUUAUAGCCUCUUGCCUAUGCAGUCGGAGAGAUUGAGGUCUGCAGCGUAGAUCCUUCGGGGCUAAAUGCAUUUGUGCUAAGUUAUAGCAUUUUAUAGACAACUUGUUGACUAUGAUUUGUCUUGUAGCUUACUCGCUUAUGUUAUUUUACCUACGCUUAGGAUGUUGAGUCGUAGGAGCACGCAG
RNAcentral lists this ribosomal RNA (775 nucleotides) under uncultured Neocallimastigales. RNAcentral's name for it is "partial large subunit ribosomal RNA". It matches the Rfam family "Eukaryotic large subunit ribosomal RNA", at positions 24 to 605 of the family's 3401-position model. The record is from RNAcentral. Lineage: Eukaryota; Fungi; Neocallimastigomycota; Neocallimastigomycetes; Neocallimastigales.